RNAcentral lists this ribosomal RNA (492 nucleotides) under uncultured bacterium. Its description in RNAcentral is "partial 16S ribosomal RNA". It matches the Rfam family "Bacterial small subunit ribosomal RNA", at positions 29 to 507 of the family's 1533-position model. The record is from RNAcentral.
AGUGAACGCUGGCGGUAGGCCUAACACAUGCAAGUCGAACGGCAGCACAGUAAGAGCUUGCUCUUACGGGUGGCGAGUGGCGGACGGGUGAGGAAUACAUCGGAAUCUACUUUUUCGUGGGGGAUAACGUAGGGAAACUUACGCUAAUACCGCAUACGACCUACGGGUGAAAGCAGGGGAUCUUCGGACCUUGCGCGAUUGAAUGAGCCUAUGUCGGAUUAGCUAGUUGGCGGGGUAAAGGCCCACCAAGGCGACGAUCCGUAGCUGGUCUGAGAGGAUGAUCAGCCACACUGGAACUGAGACACGGUCCAGACUCCUACGGGAGGAAGCAGUGGGGAAUAUUGGACAAGGGGCGCAAGCCUGAUCCAGCCAUACCGCGUGGGUGAAGAAGGACUUCGGGUUGUAAAGCCCUGUUGUUGGGAAAGAAGAGCAGCAGGUUAAUACCCCGCUGUUAUGACGGUACCCAAAGAAUAAGCACCGGCUAACUUCGUG